CGACCGUGUCUGCUAGAAGUAGUCCUGAUGGUGGCAUGAUAGCUGGUGUGGUUGUAGCUGUCAUCAUAGUUGUUGCUGUGGUCGUGGUCGUGGUUGUCGUUCUACAUAGGAGGAAUAUAGCAUGCUUCGCUGGGCGGAAUAAACCUGAAGGAUCGAAUCGGGACGAUGAGAGAACUGGCACUCCGCAACCUGAAUCCGUUUUUCACGUCAACAGGGCAUUUGAAGGUGAAGAUACACAACCUGGGCC
This is a long non-coding RNA of Lineus longissimus, 247 nucleotides long. RefSeq lists it as uncharacterized. The transcript has 3 exons. NCBI's taxonomy places the organism in Eukaryota, Metazoa, Nemertea, Pilidiophora, Heteronemertea, Lineidae. The record is from RefSeq and is a predicted model, not a curated record.